Molecule: ribosomal RNA, 324 nt
Filed under: uncultured bacterium
Lineage: Bacteria
Description: bacterial SSU rRNA
Rfam family: Bacterial small subunit ribosomal RNA
Source: RNAcentral
AACGAACGUUGGCGGCGUGCCUAACACAUGCAAGUCGAGCGCGGGCAGGACUUCGGUACCUGUUCCGAGCGGCGCGCGGGUGAGUAACACGUGAGUAACCUGCCUCGAAGUUUGGGAUAACCGCCCGAAAGGGUGGCUAAAUACCGGAUAAGCCCCCACUGGCACAGGCCAGAGAGGGAAAAGCCUUGGCGCUUCGAGAUGGGCUCGCGUCCCAUUAGCUAGUUGGUGAGGUAACGGCUCACCAAGGGCGAAGUACUGGGUAAGCUGGUCUGAGAGGAUGAUCAGCCACACUGGAACUGAGACACGGUCCAGACUCCUACGGGA